UACGUAGGGUGCGAGCGUUAAUCGGAAUUACUGGGCGUAAAGCGUGCGCAGGCGGUGAGCUGUGUCCGAUGUGAAAGCCCCGGGCUUAACCUGGGAAUGGCAUUGGAAACUGGCUCGCUGGAGUGUGGCAGAGGGGGGUGGAAUUCCGCGUGUAGCAGUGAAAUGCGUAGAGAUGCGGAGGAACACCGAUGGCGAAGGCAGCCCCCUGGGCUAACACUGACGCUCAUGCACGAAAGCGUGGGGAGCAAACAGG
Molecule: ribosomal RNA, 253 nt
Filed under: uncultured bacterium
Lineage: Bacteria
Description: partial 16S ribosomal RNA
Rfam family: Bacterial small subunit ribosomal RNA
Source: RNAcentral